Molecule: transfer RNA, 67 nt
Filed under: Cilnia humeralis
Lineage: Eukaryota; Metazoa; Arthropoda; Insecta; Mantodea; Mantidae
Description: tRNA-Ser
Source: RNAcentral
AAGAUAUGUUGUACGAAUACAAGCUGCUAACUUAUUAUUCAAGUGGUUUAAGUCCAUUUAUAUCUUA